This 301-nucleotide ribosomal RNA is filed under the name uncultured bacterium. RNAcentral describes it as "partial 16S ribosomal RNA". It matches the Rfam family "Bacterial small subunit ribosomal RNA", at positions 509 to 809 of the family's 1533-position model. The record is from RNAcentral.
CAGUCGCCGCGGGAAUACGUAGGGUGCAAGCGUUAAUCGGAAUUACUGGGCGUAAAGCGUGCGCAGGCGGUUCGUUAAGACAGAUGUGAAAUCCCCGGGCUUAACCUGGGAACUGCAUUUGUGACUGGCGAGCUAGAGUAUGGCAGAGGGGGGUAGAAUUCCACGUGUAGCAGUGAAAUGCGUAGAGAUGUGGAGGAAUACCGAUGGCGAAGGCAGCCCCCUGGGCCAAUACUGACGCUCAUGCACGAAAGCGUGGGGAGCAAACAGGAUUAGAUACCCCCGUAGUCCCUGUCUCUUAUAA